GAAAUGCGAUAAGUAAUGUGAAUUGCAGAAUUCAUUGAAUCAUCGAAUCUUUGAACGCACCUUGCGCUCCUUGGUAUUCCUUGGAGCAUGCCUGUUUGAGUAUCAUGAAAUCUUCAAAGUAAAUCUUUUGUUAACUCAAUUGGUUUCUACUUUGGUAUUGGAGGUCUUUGCAGCUUCACACCUGCUCCUCUUUGUUCAUUAGCUGGAUCUCAGUGUUAUGCUUGGUUCCACUCGGCGUGAUAAGUUAUCUAUCGCUGAGGACACUGUAAAAGGUGGCCAAGGUAAAUGCAGAUGAACCGCUUCUAAUAGUCCAUUGACUUGGACAAUACUUUUAUGAUCUGAUCUCAAAUCAGGUAGGACUACCCGCUGAACUUAAGC
Molecule: unclassified non-coding RNA, 378 nt
Filed under: plant metagenome
Description: partial contains 5.8S ribosomal RNA, internal transcribed spacer 2, and large subunit ribosomal RNA
Rfam family: 5.8S ribosomal RNA (bases 1-105)
Source: RNAcentral